GCUGCCGCAAAAUCGGCAGCCGGGCGUGGAAACCUGAAUAAUCUAACGGCGACACCAGACGCGCCUUGCGUCUUUUUU
Molecule: small RNA, 78 nt
Filed under: Cronobacter sakazakii ATCC BAA-894
Lineage: Bacteria; Pseudomonadati; Pseudomonadota; Gammaproteobacteria; Enterobacterales; Enterobacteriaceae
Description: isrK Hfq binding RNA
Rfam family: isrK Hfq binding RNA
Source: Rfam by way of RNAcentral